UGGGGAAUUUUGCGCAAUGGGCGAAAGCCUGACGCAGCAACGCCGCGUGAGUGAUGAAGGCUUUCGGGUCGUAAAGCUCUGUCGAGGGGAAAGAAGUGUAUUGUGGCUAAUAUCCACGAUACUUGACGGUACCCCUAAAGGAAGCACCGGCUAACUCCGUGCCAGCAGCCGCGGUAAUACGGGGGGUGCAAGCGUUGUUCGGAAUUAUUGGGCGUAAAGAGCGUGUAGGCGGUUUGUUUAGUCUGAUGUGAAAGCCCUGGGCUCAACCCAGGAAGUGCAUUGGAUACUGGCAGACUUGAAUACGGGAGAGGGUAGUGGAAUUCCUAGUGUAGGAGUGAAAUCCGUAGAUAUUAGGAGGAACACCGGUGGCGAAGGCGGCUGCCUGGACCGAUAUUGACGCUGAGACGCGAAAGCGUGGGUAGCAAACAGG
This 430-nucleotide ribosomal RNA is filed under the name uncultured Geobacter sp. Its description in RNAcentral is "bacterial SSU rRNA". It matches the Rfam family "Bacterial small subunit ribosomal RNA", at positions 355 to 776 of the family's 1533-position model. The record is from RNAcentral. Lineage: Bacteria; Pseudomonadati; Thermodesulfobacteriota; Desulfuromonadia; Geobacterales; Geobacteraceae.